GGUCUUGUGGCCCAGUUGGUUAAGGCGCUCGCCUACGAAGCGAGAGAUUCCAGGUUCGAGUCCUGGCAAGAUCG
This 74-nucleotide transfer RNA is filed under the name Geranomyces variabilis. RNAcentral's name for it is "tRNA-Arg". It matches the Rfam family "tRNA". From Rfam's summary of the family: Transfer RNA (tRNA) molecules are approximately 80 nucleotides in length. Their secondary structure includes four short double-helical elements and three loops (D, anti-codon, and T loops). Lineage: Eukaryota; Fungi; Chytridiomycota; Chytridiomycetes; Spizellomycetales; Powellomycetaceae. The record is from RNAcentral.